GGGGAUGAUAGGCUUCGACGGAGAAGGCUGGUCACGGAUGGCAAGCCGGGGCGCUCUGACCCCGUUAACAAUGGAGCACAAACUCCAAAGUGCCAAUAACACUUGGUUUCCUGUUCCUCAGCCUGCGAUGAUGGCUGCCGCUCCAAUGGUAGCCUAGUCCAUUCUGGGAACAAACUGACCACUAGAUGGUCACGUCCGCUCCGGUUUUUCGCUGGCGAGCCGGGGGUCGGACGUCAAACAGUCAGCGUGCAGCGCUCCAACGCCGAUGAGGGCGCUCAAGCGGGAGUUUCGGCUCCCAUCGGCUAGGUCUGAGUGCAGCGCGGUCGGCAGUGACUCCUCAGACGAGAACUAAAAGGGCCGACUAAGCUUGUAGAGGUCCCUGAUCGAAUUUUUCGGACGCGGGUUCGAUUCCCGCCAUCUCCACCA
This 426-nucleotide transfer-messenger RNA is filed under the name Chloroflexota bacterium. RNAcentral's name for it is "Chloroflexi bacterium transfer-messenger RNA". It matches the Rfam family "transfer-messenger RNA". From Rfam's summary of the family: Bacterial tmRNA, also known as 10Sa RNA or SsrA, is named for its dual tRNA and mRNA-like properties. Its role is to liberate the mRNA from a stalled ribosome. To accomplish this part of the tmRNA is used as a reading frame that ends in a translation stop signal. Lineage: Bacteria; Bacillati; Chloroflexota. The record is from RNAcentral.